Oncorhynchus tshawytscha (Chinook salmon) is the source of this 3113-nucleotide long non-coding RNA. NCBI's taxonomy places the organism in Eukaryota, Metazoa, Chordata, Actinopteri, Salmoniformes, Salmonidae. The record is from Ensembl.
UUGUGUAAAGUAUUGUAUUGCAAGAAACAACAUAUGAACAUUAUUCAGUCAAUAUGAAAAAUAUUGAUAAUAUUUAGAAGAAUUCCAAAAAUAAAAAAAUGUCCUUAUAAAAUUCCCCUGGGUGAUAAUUGAUACGUUUAAAUAAUGCAACAAAAGAAAGUACAUUUUCCUUCUAUUCUACACACUGUGCCAUGAGAAAAAUGUUUUAAAGCUAUUUUCCAGUCAUCCCCCCCAUUCCCACACACACAAUGAAACAUGUAACAGAUCCAGUGAUAGCACCAGUCUCAGGUUUAGCCUGACCUCUAGUGGUUAUGAGUGGUAGUACACCAGUCUCAGGUUUAGCCUGACCUCUAGUGGUUAUGAGUGGUAGUACACCAGUCUCAUGGUUAUAGCCUGACCUCUAGUGGUUAUGAGUGGCAGUACACCAGUCUCAGGUUCAUAGCCUGACCUCUAGUGGUUAUGAGUGGUAUGGCCUAGUUUCUUUCCUGCCAAUGCUUCUAUGGAGAAUCUUGAGUUGUUCAAGCUGAUGACUAUUCUGUAGGGACUUGGUGAGAGUCAAGAGGCAUUGUUCAAGAGGUUCUGAUAGACUCAACCACAACAUAUUUAAUCAAAAUCACAUUUUUUUAUUCAUCACAAUAAUUACAAACAGUAGAAUGAAACAAAAAUUAAUGAAAUGAGUCGAUACGAUACAGCAGCAACAUUGAUUAAUAGUGGAGUUUAUCUGGUACAGCAGGAAGACAAUUUGUCAGUGGAAGAACAAUGGAGUGGCUGUUGAAUUGAAUUGAAUCUACCUGUAGCUGACUACAAGGAAAGAAGAACCCUGACCUCACAGAUACAUGUGUCUCUGUGGGAGGGAAGGGGGGUCCCUCUUAGCUCCACAGCAACCAGUCCCUCUUAGUUCCACAACAACCAGUCCCUCUUAGUUCCACAACAACCAGUCCCUCUUAGUUCCACAACAACCAGUCCCUCUUAGUUCCACAACAACCAGUCCCUCUUAGUUCCACAACAACCAGUCCCUCUUAGUUCCACAGCAACCAGUCCCUCUUAGUUCCACAACAACCAGUCCCUCUUAGUUCCACAACAACCAGUCCCUCUUAGUUCCACAACAACCAGUCCCUCUUAGUUCCACAGCAACCAGUCCCUCUUAGUUCCACAACAACCAGUCCCUCUUAGUUCCACAACAACCAGUCCCUCUUAGUUCCACAACAACCAGUCCCUCUUAACUCCACAACAACCAGUCCCUAUUAGUUCCACAACAACCAGUCCCUCUUAGUUCCACAACAACCAGUCCCUCUUAGUUCCACAACAACCAGUCCCUCUUAGUUCCACAACAACCAGUCCCUCUUAGUUCCACAACAACCAGUCCCUCUUCACUCCACAACAACCAGUCCCUCUUAGUUCCACAACAACCAGUCCCUCUUAGUUCCACAACAACCAGUCCCUCUUAGUUCCACAAUAACCAGUCCCUCUUAGUUCCACAACAACCAGUCCCUCUUAGUUCCACAACAACCAGUCCCUCUUAGUUCCACAACAACCAGUCCCUCUUAGUUCCACAACAACCAGUCCCUCUUAGUUCCACAACAACCAGUCCCUCUUAGUUCCACAACAACCAGUCCCUCUUAGUUCCACAACAACAAGUCCCUCUUAGUUCCACAACAACCAGUCCCUCUUAGUUCCACAACAACCAGUCCCUCUUAGUUCCACAACAACCAGUCCCUCUUAGUUCCACAACAACCAGUCCCUCUUAGUUCCACAACAACCAGUCCCUCUUAGUUCCACAACAACCAGUCCCACUUAGUUCCACAACAACCAGUCCCUCUUAGUUCCACAACAACCAGUCCCUCUUAGUUCCACAACAACCAGUCCCUCUUCACUCCACAACAACCAGUCCCUCUUAGUUCCACAGCAACCAGUCCCUCUUAGUUCCACAACAACCAGUCCCUCUUAGUUUCACAGCAACCAGUCCCUGUUAGCUAAGACAGUACGUUCCCAAUAAAAACAUAAUUCCACCUUGACAUUAUGGGGUAGAUCAGUGACAAAACAAUCUUCCUUUCAAUCCAUUUCAAAUUCAGGCUGUAAACACAACAAACAUUAGGAUAAAGUCAACGGGUGUGAAGGCUCAAAGUAAACAAAACAUUAUGAACACCUGCUCUUUCCAUGACAGACUGACCAGGUGAAUCCAGGUGAAAGCUGUCAUCCCUUAUUGAUGUCACCUGUUAAAUCCACUUCAAUCAGUGUAGAUGAAUGGGAGGAGACGGGAUAAAGGAAGGAUUUUUAAGCCUUGAGACAUGGAUUGUGUCUGUGUGUCAUUCAGAGGGUGAAUGGGCAAGACAAAAUAUUUAAGUGCCUUUGAACGGGGUAUGGUAGUAGGAGGUGCCUUUGAACAGGGUAUGGUAGUAGGUGCCUUUGAACAGGGUAUGGUAGUAGGUGCCUUUGAAUGGGGGUAUGGUAGUAGGUGCCUUUGAAUGGGGGUAUGGUAGUAGGUGCCUUUGAACAGGGUGUGGUAGUAGGUGCCAGGCACACUGGUUGUGUCAAGAACUGCAACGCUGCUGAGUUUUUCACACUCAACAGUUUCCCGUGUGUAUCAAGAAUUGUCAACCACCUAGAGAAGUUCCAGCCAACUUGACGCAAUUGUGGAAAGCAUUGGAGUCAACAUGGGCCAGCAUCCCUGUGGAACGCUUUCAACACCUUGUAGAGGGGGGUGGAGCAACUCAAUAUUAGGAAGCUGUUCUUAAUGUUUUGUUCACUCAAUGUAGAUUGUACAGUAUAGUACAUUCCCUGAACAAAAGCAGGAUCUAGAUUAUACAGCUCUAUCUGAACAGAUGCUGGCAAACCUAAAGAGUCAUUCCAUUUGAUUCUUGAUGACAGUCCAUGAUGCUGCUAAACCUAAAGAGUCAUUCCAUUUGAUUCUUGAUGACAGUCCAUGAUGCUGCUAAACCUAAAGAGUCAUUCCAUUUGAUUCUUGAUGACAGUCCAUGAUGCUGCUAAACCUAAAGAGUCACUCCAUUUGAUUCUCGAUGACAGUCCCUGAUGCUGCUAAACCUAAAGAGUCACUCCAUUUGAUUCUUGAUGACAGUCCCUGAUGCUGCUAAACCUAAAGAGUCACUCCAUUU